RNAcentral lists this ribosomal RNA (317 nucleotides) under uncultured bacterium. Its description in RNAcentral is "bacterial SSU rRNA". It matches the Rfam family "Bacterial small subunit ribosomal RNA", at positions 335 to 643 of the family's 1533-position model. The record is from RNAcentral.
ACUCCUACGGGAGGCAGCAGUGGGGAAUAUUGCACAAUGGGCGCAAGCCUGAUGCAGCCAUGCCGCGUGUAUGAAGAAGGCCUUCGGGUUGUAAAGUACUUUCAGCAGUGAGGAAGGUGGGUAUGUUAAUAGCAUGCACUCAUUUGACGUUAGCUGCAGAAGAAGCACCGGCUAACUCCGUGCCAGCAGCCGCGGUAAUACGGAGGGUGCGAGCGUUAAUCGGAAUUACUGGGCGUAAAGCGCAUGCAGGUGGUUUGUUAAGUCAGAUGUGAAAGCCCGGGGCUCAACCUCGGAAUUGCAUUGAACUUGGACAACGU